AGGAGAAAAAAAAAAAAAAAAACCUAACCAUUGCUAACCUUUUAGUUAAUACUUAACAAAUGCAACAAUAAAUGUUAGAAAUUAAAUGUUUAUGUAUUAGUGUAUACUUUCUCAAUAGAUUGUCACCAAAUCCAAUGGUGAAACAAUAAUUGCUUUCAUAAAUAUGACACCAUACAAUUUUUUUUCAUGUUUCUAGGUCUGAACAUUAUUUACUUAUCCAGACAUCAAUCAUUACUAUUGAAAUUCAAGAAGUGGAAAACACUAAUGAACAAGUUAAAUCAGAAAUUCACAAGUUUUCAAGAAAAUUGUGAAAGUGAAUACUUGUAAUAUUGUAAAAUUCGUAACAAGUGUAAAUUUUAACAGAAAAGCAUUCAUAAAGAUGAAUAAAUUUUAACAGAAAAGCAUUCAUAAAGAUGAA
RNAcentral lists this unclassified non-coding RNA (418 nucleotides) under Hevea brasiliensis (rubber tree). The record is from RNAcentral. Lineage: Eukaryota; Viridiplantae; Streptophyta; Magnoliopsida; Malpighiales; Euphorbiaceae.